UACGGGGGGGGCAAGCGUUGUUCGGAAUUACUGGGCGUAAAGGGCUUGUAGGCGGCCAACUAAGUCCGACGUGAAAUCCCCAGGCUUAACCUGGGAACUGCGUCGGAUACUGGAUGGCUUGAAUUCGGGAGAGGGAUGCAGAAUUCCAGGUGUAGCGGUGAAAUGCGUAGAUAUCUGGAGGAAUACCGGUGGCGAAGGCGGCAUCCUGGACCGACAUUGACGCUGAGGAGCGAAAGCUAGGGGAGCAAACGGG
RNAcentral lists this ribosomal RNA (253 nucleotides) under uncultured bacterium. Its description in RNAcentral is "partial 16S ribosomal RNA". It matches the Rfam family "Bacterial small subunit ribosomal RNA", at positions 524 to 776 of the family's 1533-position model. The record is from RNAcentral.